CAGAGACAGCUGCGGCGUUCAUUUGGGGAAGUGGGGAUGGGACAAGAAACACGGAGGGUCCCACUGAAGCAGGAACAAGUCUGAAUUUCCCAACGGGAAAACGCCUCUUCCAGACGUGGGCCAGAAACACCCACGGGGUCUGGAAGAUCAGGUAUUUCAUCGGGCUGCGUUCUGGAACUCCCCUUCACCCAAAUACCAACCUGCAGACAGAGAAGCCCUGGCGGGGGCCUGGGGAGCCCCGUGUGACUGGCAUCGUACUCAGGACGUCUGUUCUUAAUCAACUUCCGUGUUUCCCUUCUUUGUCUUUACUACGCGAAUGUGUUCAGUUUAAACCGUGAAACAGGCGAAGAUGAGGGAAUCGCAUGCCUUCACGGUAAAGACCCAGCUCGGUGCCAAAGGAACCGCCCCACCAGUUGUGAGUGAUGGAAGUCUGAGCCCUACAGCUGCCUCCUUCCCUCAGCAAGGAAACUGAGGCUCCGAGGGGCGGCAGUGACCGGCUCCAGACCGCACAGUGAGUAACGGGAGGGAUCCGAACCCAGGACUGGGCACUCUGCCGUCUCCACCCGCUGAGCUCUACCAGGUGAGGUGGCCUCCCGACUCAGAUUCUUUCUCUGCUUUCCCUCAAGACCCCACGACUAGCCAGGUCUAUGCUUCCUGAUUCAGCUGCCUUCUUUCUUCCAGGCACCUGAGCCCCUGUCCCCCAUACAUGGGCCUCUCCCGUCCCUGACCCCUGAGCAGAGGC
This is a long non-coding RNA of Ailuropoda melanoleuca (giant panda), 742 nucleotides long. RefSeq lists it as uncharacterized. The transcript is spliced from 3 exons. The record is from RefSeq and is a predicted model, not a curated record. NCBI's taxonomy places the organism in Eukaryota, Metazoa, Chordata, Mammalia, Carnivora, Ursidae.